This 757-nucleotide ribosomal RNA is filed under the name uncultured bacterium. RNAcentral describes it as "bacterial SSU rRNA". It matches the Rfam family "Bacterial small subunit ribosomal RNA", at positions 762 to 1520 of the family's 1533-position model. The record is from RNAcentral.
UGGGUAGCAAACAGGAUUAGAUACCCUGGUAGUCCACGCCGUAAACGAUGUCUACUAGUCGUUGGGUCCCUUGAGGACUUAGUGACGCAGCUAACGCAAUAAGUAGACCGCCUGGGGAGUACGGCCGCAAGGUUAAAACUCAAAUGAAUUGACGGGGGCCCGCACAAGCGGUGGAGCAUGUGGUUUAAUUCGAUGCAACGCGAAGAACCUUACCUGGUCUUGACAUACACAGAAUCUUGUAGAGAUACGAGAGUGCCUUCGGGAAUUGUGAUACAGGUGCUGCAUGGCUGUCGUCAGCUCGUGUCGUGAGAUGUUGGGUUAAGUCCCGCAACGAGCGCAACCCUUGUCCUUAGUUACCAGCACUUCGGGUGGGAACUCUAAGGAUACUGCCAGUGACAAACUGGAGGAAGGCGGGGACGACGUCAAGUCAUCAUGGCCCUUACGACCAGGGCUACACACGUGCUACAAUGGUAGGUACAGAGGGCAGCUACACAGCGAUGUGAUGCGAAUCUCAAAAAGCCUAUCGUAGUCCAGAUUGGAGUCUGCAACUCGACUCCAUGAAGUAGGAAUCGCUAGUAAUCGCGGAUCAGAAUGCCGCGGUGAAUACGUUCCCGGGCCUUGUACACACCGCCCGUCACACCAUGGGAGUUGAUUGCACCAGAAGUGGUUAGCCUAACUUAGUGAGGGCGAUCACCACGGUGUGGUCGAUGACUGGGGUGAAGUCGUAACAAGGUAGCCGUAGGGGAACCUGCGGCUG